CACCGGCAGCUCUAGUGGUAGCAGUUUUUAUUGGGCCCAAAGCGUCCGUAGCCGGUUUAAUAAGUCUCUGGUGAAAUCCUGUAGCUUAACUGUGGGAAUAGCUGGAGAUACUAUUAGACUUGAGACCGGGAGAGGUUAGAGGUACUCCCAGGGUAGAGGUGAAACUCUGUAAUCCUGGGAGGACCGCCUGUUGCGAAGGCGUCUAACUGGAACGGUUCUGACGGUGAGGGACGAAAGUUAGGGGCGCGAACCGGAUUAGAUACCCGGGUAGUCCUAACCGUAAACGAUGCGGACUUGGUGUUGGGGUGGCUUUGAGCUGCUCCAGUGCCGAAGGGAAGCUGUUAAGUCCGCCGCCCGGGAAGUACGGUCGCAAGACUGAAACUUAA
RNAcentral lists this ribosomal RNA (386 nucleotides) under uncultured methanogenic archaeon. Its description in RNAcentral is "bacterial SSU rRNA". It matches the Rfam family "Archaeal small subunit ribosomal RNA", at positions 474 to 859 of the family's 1478-position model. The record is from RNAcentral. Lineage: Archaea; Methanobacteriati; Methanobacteriota.